Molecule: ribosomal RNA, 484 nt
Filed under: uncultured bacterium
Lineage: Bacteria
Description: partial 16S ribosomal RNA
Rfam family: Bacterial small subunit ribosomal RNA
Source: RNAcentral
AUUGAACGCUAGCGGGAUGCUUUACACACGCAAGUCGAACGGCAGCGCGGACUUCGGUCUGGCGGCGAGUGGCGAACGGGUGAGUAAUGUAUCGGAACGUGCCCAGUAGCGGGGGAUAACUACGCGAAAGCGUAGCUAAUACCGCAUACGCCCUACGGGGGAAAGCAGGGGAUCGUAAGACCUUGCACUAUUGGAGCGGCCGAUAUCGGAUUAGCUAGUUGGUGAGGUAACGGCUCACCAAGGCGACGAUCCGUAGCUGGUUUGAGAGGACGACCAGCCACACUGGGACUGAGACACGGCCCAGACUCCUACGGGAGGCAGCAGUGGGGAAUUUUGGACAAUGGGGGCAACCCUGAUCCAGCCAUCCCGCGUGUGCGAUGAAGGCCUUCGGGUUGUAAAGCACUUUUGGCAGGAAAGAAACGUCGCGGGCUAAUACCCCGUGGAACUGACGGUACCUGCAGAAUAAGCACCGGCUAACUACGUG